This 171-nucleotide ribosomal RNA is filed under the name uncultured organism. RNAcentral describes it as "partial 16S ribosomal RNA". It matches the Rfam family "Bacterial small subunit ribosomal RNA", at positions 338 to 524 of the family's 1533-position model. The record is from RNAcentral.
CCUACGGGAGGCAGCAGUGGGGAAUUUUCCGCAAUGGGCGAAAGCCUGACGGAGCAAUGCCGCGUGGAGGUAGAAGGCCCACGGGUCGUCAACUUCUUUUCUCGGAGAAGAAACAAUGACGGUAUCUGAGGAAUAAGCAUCGGCUAACUCUGUGCCAGCAGCCGCGGUAAU